ACACACACACACGCAGGCAAAAUACCAAUGUGCAUAAAAUAAAAAAUAAAUCUUAAUAAGAUUAAAGUCAUUAGCAUACUCAAAAUAGGAGGCUGGGGGAGAUCAGUCACACGGUAGGUAGGCGGGUCAGUGCACACAGGGUAGGUAGGCGGGUCAGUGCACACAGGGUAGGUAGGCGGGUCGGUACACACACGGUAGGUAGGUGGGUCGCUGCACACAGUAGCCAGGUCAAAUAAAGCCUGGACAUUACUGCAUUUACCACAGAACCCACAAAUGACCUUCACAAGACAAGUUUUGGUUGAAUGCAAAGCUGUGGUUUAGGGCAGGUUCAAGAAAAAUGGAAGGAGGAACUGGAGGCAGACUAUAAAAUGUGUGUGUCCUGCCAAAGGCCAAAGUCUUAUGUGUAAGUACUCUUUGUCUUACUGUUUCUGAUCUUACAGUCAGCUAGACUGGCUAGCAAGCCCCAGGGAUCCCAUCUCCACUCCCAGCACCAGAACGAUGGGCCUGUUUUACUCUGUAUCUGGCUUUUUCUGUCAGUGCUGGGGUCUGAGCUUGGGUACUCAGGCACAGUGACAGAGCCAUCCCCACUCUCAUCCCAUAACUAAACAUUUUUUCCUUUUUGACAGCAUUUAGCAUUAUAGCCGUGGCUGGUGCAAACUCAGAGAUCUGCCUGUCUGUCUCCCAAGAGCUGGGUUUAAAGGCCUAGCUCGAAGCAAACCCUACAGAGUUCUUCUGUACAGGUGAAUACAGAAGUGGAGCAGCGGCUGGAGCCUGAGGGAGCUGCCAGCCAGGGCUCUGUGCGCACUCAGGAAUGACUCACAGAGCAAACAGUUCCCAGUGCACAGCUGACAGGUGUCUAGAGCCAUGUCCUCGAAGAGAUGGGAUCUAUGCAGUGACAGGGGACUGGCUGCACACAGCUAAUCCCUGUCAACAGAAAGCAGAGAACAUGGAGGUUUCAGAUCUGCUGCCACCUGAAGUCGCCAACCUGCUUAUUUGCUCUAGGCCUGCCCAGACAGGGGCCACUCCGUACCGUCCUCCUUCCCACGGGAACCCCCUCUGGAGUUCUGUCCCUCUCUCCUGCCUCUCCUGUGCCCGGAUCGCCGGCCGCUGGGUGAGGGAGACCUGGAUGGAAAGGUCACAACUUGCGGGUAGCUCCAGCCUGGCACGGUCUUCUUGCUUCUGUUCCGAUCAGCUGCACCAUGGGAAAUGUUCUUUUUCUUUCUUUUAAACUGGGAAAGCACUGAAAAUUUCUUAACUUUCUCAAAAUCAGUUUUUGCUUUGAUAAAAUAAGAAUAAAACUUGCUUGGUGUGUUGAGAACUAA
Molecule: non-coding RNA, 1322 nt
Organism: Myodes glareolus (Bank vole)
Lineage: Eukaryota; Metazoa; Chordata; Mammalia; Rodentia; Cricetidae
Source: RefSeq, a predicted model, not a curated record